RNAcentral lists this long non-coding RNA (1256 nucleotides) under Equus caballus (horse). Its description in RNAcentral is "lncRNA (ENSECAG00000038724.3)". Lineage: Eukaryota; Metazoa; Chordata; Mammalia; Perissodactyla; Equidae. The record is from RNAcentral.
GUUUACUUUAAGGCCAAGGAUGGGGAAGGUCUGAGUAGCUUGUACACAGGAAGAAUUAAGUGCUGCUCUGUGCUCAGUGCGGUUGUGGAGGGAGCAGCUGGCUGCACUGGUCCAUGGCUGGGUUUGGCAGGAGCGAGAACACCAGCCCGGAGCAGACACAGCAUUCCUGGGGCAGGACUGCCCCGCAUGUCACAUCACGAAGCCCAGUGCCCGGCACACAGUGCCCACCUGUCUCUGCUGCCAGGGAGUUUGUUUUUCAAACAUUCCGUGGACAUUCUAGUCCCACAAAAAGCAGCUCAAUUCAGUAUUCACCAUGUCCUGACACCCCAGCAGAGGCUGCAGACCACGGCCAAGGGCGGCUGCCCAUCCAAGGGGCAGAGUCGGGACCUCAUGAGCUGGCAGGGGGCUGGGCUCCAGGUCCUGGAGCUGCUCCCAACUCCCAGGGGGACCUCAGUUUCAGCUGUGGCCAGACUCCCCACUUGCUGUGGACACAGAGCUGGGCAGGACCAGAGGGAUUAUCUGUUCAACCCUUCAUUUCACAGCUGGAGAAACAGGCUCAGAGAGGCAAAGGGGCUCGGCCAAGGUCACACAUUCAAGUAAGAGCAGUGGAGAUUCUGCCCCAGCCCUGGUCCUCUAAUCUAAUCCAUCAGCCCAUAGGAACCGAGCAGCCAUCCCCACGCACACGUGGGACCAGAGCCACUGACCCUGAGAGCCAGCAGGGCUUCCAGGCAACCCUCCCUCCCCGCCCCUCCUGAUUCCAAGCUCUGGAGACAAAAGAGCAGAGGUGAGGUGAGCACCCCAAUGUCACGGGCCAGGCAGCGCCCAGGGGGACGAGAACCCAGGGCUCCAGACUCCACCCUGGCUGCUUCCACCACACCCCCGUCCCCACCCUAGGCACCCUCAGCUCUCCAGCCACUCUGGACACAGCCCUGCAUGUCUCUAUGGCUGUGUGCGCCUCCUCCAUGGGGCCACAUCUGCGUCUGAUUGAAUAAACACCUGGGGGGACGACCAGUGAUCCCCUAAAUAGCACGCACCUGUGGGAUGAGGAGCGGCCAUCCCUUCCAUCCCCAUCAGCUCAGCCUCGACACCAGGAACUCGACAGCAUCCUUCACACUCAGGAAAUGUCGUCUCUGAGAACGAACCGCAUUUUCUGUAGUUAACGCGUAACAACUAGUCCUAUAAAUCUGAAUUAUCCCUGUAAAUCUAAAUGAAGCUCCCAGACUUAAAUGUAUUUAGGACACUUCAUUAAUAAACUG